Sapajus apella (tufted capuchin) is the source of this 123-nucleotide long non-coding RNA. RefSeq lists it as uncharacterized. Lineage: Eukaryota; Metazoa; Chordata; Mammalia; Primates; Cebidae. The record is from RefSeq and is a predicted model, not a curated record. The transcript is spliced from 2 exons.
UAAGGUUCAGAAAAAUAACCAUUGGGUAUAGGCUUAGUACCUGGGUGAUGAAACAAUCUGUUUAACAAACCCUUGUGACAUGAGGUUACCUAUAUAACAAACCUGCCCAUGUACGCCUGAACC